UGUGUCCACUGUCCAGUAGUAGGAGCAGGACUGAUUAUGGAGGCUGACAUGUGAACACUCCCCAUAUUAUGAGCUUCUUCAUGCAAUCUUGAUGCCUGUUUCUCUUCAUGGUCUGCAGGCCACCUUUGAACAUGUUUUUUAUGAGAUUAUCAUUGAAGUGUGCUGCUACCAUAGGUUUUAAUGAACUCUUAUGCCAAGCAGAUGUAGUCUGUGGUACAACUGUUGCAUUUGAUGCAUUAGUACUGGAAGUAUGAUUUGUACCAGGUGAUGGACUUCUCUGGAUGUUUAAGCACUGAAGACUGAGGAGAGACAGGCUGGUGACCCUGCUGAUUGUCAGCAGUUAUAGGUUGUGGUGUGGCCGAUUGUGACACUGGUCCUUGCUUAACUACUGGAGUACUAACCUAUGAUGAAACAGGUGGAGUUUCAUCAAAGGUUUGAUAGGGACUGUGUUAGUUUGAGAUGUGCUUAUUCUUGGAGACACGUAGGAUCUUGGGGAGGAAGCAUCAGAAGUUAGAGACUGAUUAGAUGUCUGGGCUUGUGUAGAGAGCAGGGCAGCUUGAGAAAUCAGAGAGGUGAUGUUGAAAGUAGAUGGUCCAGCAGUAAGAAAAGUGUGGAUGAUAGACUGCAGGGAAGCCUUAUUACGGCUGCAGUAAGAACAUCAUUUAUUUUGGAUAUUAGAAUUAUCAAGCUGUAGUGUGGCCUGUAAAACAGGAAGCAACUGUCUAAGAAGACUUGGGUCCUGAAGUAAUGGAGGUAUUGGUGAUUGUGGAACGGGAGAAACAGGUAUUGUUGAAGCAUAUGUUGGAGGUGGAGUUGUGGGUUUCACAUCAGAGGCUGAAGAUGUGGAAGGAGUUGUGCAAGAAUGUGAUACUGAUUUGUCUCCUGGAGCAGACUCCCCACUGGUGAACUGACUAGUGGCUGUUGCUUGCAUGACCUCUCUUUUAUAAUCCCCAUCUUUUGGGAAACUAUUAGCUGCCAACUUAUUUGCUUCUUUUUGUCUCUGUUCUCUUUCAAGACACUCUUUGGGUUUUUUACACUGUGAAACUUUUUUUUCCUUUUUGUAUUAGAAAAUUAUUUUACAUGUCAAUCCCAGGUCCCUCUACCACCCCUCCUCCCCUGCCCCCCCCAACUAAUGUCCUACCAU
RNAcentral lists this long non-coding RNA (1144 nucleotides) under Cricetulus griseus (Chinese hamster). RNAcentral describes it as "lncRNA (ENSCGRG00000024342.1)". Lineage: Eukaryota; Metazoa; Chordata; Mammalia; Rodentia; Cricetidae. The record is from RNAcentral.